ACCAUACACCAUAUAGAAACCCUUCUUUCUGAGCCUUUCAUCUCUGGGUCACUGGUUCCAAUCGAGCCCAGGUCGAUAGCGAACAAAAAUCAUUUUAAUCUGAUGGCUGUUUGCUGACCUAUGUGAAAUGAACUGGUUGUGUCAGUCCACUUCCCAGCUGACAGCUCUCCCCAUCAUCAAGGCCAUUGCUACAGGUGGCAGUAAUUGGUGCUUUUUUGAGGCCAGCUCAGCUAAAAGGCUGAAGAAUGGAAAAGCCAGUAGGGCUGAACCACCUCUUCCUCUUAUUCAGGUGCUCCCUCCAGGUGAGUGCUGGGGGAAGCUGGCACUGCUGUUGCCUGCACUACAUCUGCUCUUUGAGCCAACAAAAGACUUCAGGGCAAAGGCGACUCCUCUGAAAUGUGUUUCUCUGAGCAGCUGAUACCUCCCCUGUUGUGAGGAGAUAAAGUAUUCGGAAGAGGAUAUUAUGAGGAGGACUUUCAAUUACACUGUAAGCCACAGCCACCUACCUUGCAUCCUUCAGACACCUCCUGGGAAUGCUGAUUUUGCCAUGGGGCAUCAGAGAUGCCAGGAUGGUCUGGCUAACUGGGGCACCAAUAGGUUCUCCAAAGCCUGCUCACAUGAUGCUGGCCAGUGGUGUUUUCCACAAGGUAAAUCUUGGCCUGCCCCACUGCAGACAAGAAGAAAAGCAGUGAAGGGUGUCAGAACUGCCAGCAACUCUGUCAAACCAAACCUUAAAAAGAGGAAAAUACGCCUUGCCUCCAUGUCUUGGGGUGCAUUAGGAUCCAGACACACUGCGAGGUCAACGUUGGGAUUCUCAGGCAGAGCAGAGAUGUCUCAAAUGAGCUGGACCUGAAGUAUUAAACAUAAGCAGAAUGAGCAGUGGGUUGCUUUAAACCAUUGCUUCCCUCAUAGGAAACAACUUUUUUUUAUGCGUUUCCAUUCUGGGAUUUCUAUUAUCUACUGCCUUGUGCUGGGUGUACCUCAGUGAGCAGGCCCAAAAGAGAAGGAGAGAGCUGAAGUUCCUAUUGAACUAAAGCCAGCUUGUCCUCCAGUUUGAGGCCCGAGAAAACCAUCACUUGAAUCAAAGCACUUUAGAAGGUAGUUUACAAGUCUACUUCCCAAGAAGAAACCAGGAUGCAGUGUUAUCACCUUCAUGAAAUUAAAGGAGGUGGUUUUACGAUUUGGUGGAGAGAAGCCAUGCUGUUAAUUAGUCACAUUUAUUUGACAAAAAAGUGGGGGAGGGUGAAAAGGGGAAAGGAAGUUGGGAAAGAAAAACAGAACAGAAGGGAAAAAAUCUUUAUGAUGAGGUGCUUGGCAGGAUGAAGGAACAAAAGGAAGGUUUUCUGCCUGUCUCCUGAUAUUUUCCAACUCAGCAAAAAAAUCCAUUGUGUAGCUUAAGGGGGAAAAAAAGUUAAAGUUGAAAGCUUAGUGUGUGAAAGCAACUGCUCAACCAUUGUGUAAUACGGGCUAAUGUAAUGUCACUGUUUCCCCAUGAUGUAAGUUGCGAUUUUUGUUCCAGUUGCUGUGGUCAAUGUUAUCGCUUUCAGUUUUCAAAAAGGGGGCAAGGAGGUGCAUGGAGAUGGUAUUUCUCUUUAUCCCCACCACCCCUUCCCCUCUCCCAACAAAUACUUCUGUUAGGACAUAUCAGUGCUGACCAGAUGUCACUGAUUUUUUUUCUUUUUUUGCAUGUGUCCCUUAACAGCUGGCAAGAAUAUCAGCUCAAAUUAUUCACCACAAGCACACUCUUUCUGUUUGUCUCCAGAUAAAGGGAUUUGAAAUCCUGGUUGUCAGAGAGGGAUGCUGAAAACUGUGGAAUGGAUUUCUUUGGGGAGAGGGAAUACUUCUUGAAGAACUUUAAACCAGUUGGAGAUGGUCAUGACUAGGAUGCACAUCCAAAGACAUCCCUUAGGGGUGGUACUUCAUGUUUUUGGAAACUGUUUUAAGCCCAGGAUGUUUUCUUGGAACCACUGUGAAGUGUUCAUAGGAAUCAGUAAUUCUAAAUGUAGAGACUGUUUUUGUUUUGCUCAUGUCAGCUAAAAUAAUCUUAGAUGUGGUUACAGGUGAGAAAUACAAUGGGUGGAUGGCAAAUACACAGCACUGUGCAGGAUGUUCUAGAAUUGCUUGGGACCAUAUCCAUGUGUCUUUGCUCCAUCAGCCUUCAAUCUCUACAUUUUGCAAAUGGGUUGAGGGCAGUGCUGGGUUUGCAGUGGGACACCACACAGCCCUGGUGUCACAGCACUUGGGAGAUGGCAGUGAGGACGUAGCAAAUGGCAUUACACCUGGAACCACAUUCGGUGGGUGCUAUGAUGCACAGCACACAGGAGGGGCUGGUUUAUCCUCAUAAAUCAUGAGCUACUGGCCCUUGUCAUCCAUGUCAUUGCCUUCUGCCUAGCCAUAAUCUUCUCCUCCUCCCCUCAUAUUUACAGUUGUAUCUACUUUUCUCUUCAAAACUGUCACAACUAACCAGUGUUGUAUAGAAUAGUGCAGUGUUCUCCCCAGCUAAGGCUCUGUUGCAAAAUAAGUGUUUUUUCCUUGUGUGAGAAAAGAUAAUUGUGUCAGUAUAUGGAAGUCAUGGCUUGACAGCAUUUCUAACAUUAUCUUCAGAUGAGUGAAAAACACAAGAUCACAUGAAGAUAACUGAGUUUCUGCAUGCUCAUAGUUGGGAUGCAAAUCAAGACUUCAGCUCUGUCUCUAAACUGGAAAAAAAUCUUUGUGUUUAUUACAUACUGCAUUUAGUCUUUGGUGAUGUUUUUAAAUAACCACUUUAAAAGAAAGAGAAAAUUAAUUUUAAUGAACAGUAAGCACAGAAACUCACCUAGGAAGAGUAUGUAACACAUGACAUGCCCUAGGUAGGGUAAAGUUAUGCUUCACUUUAUUAAGGCUUGUAUUCUAUUACUUAUUGUCUUUACUGUUGCCUCAUGGUUGAUAGGAACAAGAAUGCUUUUCUAAAGCAUGCUAAGCUCUUGAAAUUAUUCUUAUUGUUCAUAUUUACCUACUCUUUAGUGAGGAAACUCUAAUAUUUUAUUAUGAUAUGAAAGCCUUUCCAUAUGCCCCACCACCUCCUCCAGUUCCUGAAAUCCCUUCAGUUACGAGACCACCUGCUUUGAAGUGCAGAGAUGGGAAUUGACUGUAGAUUCUGUCCAUUUUAGGAUACAGGGAGAUGGGGCUCUACACUACUGGAAAGGCCGUCUUGAGUGACCUAGAUUUUGGUAAGAAAUUCUGUCUCCAUCUGACAUAGUACUAGCCUUGCCAUUGACUUCAAAGGAGCCAGGAUAGAAGCCCCUGUGCCGUUUUUGCUAAAAUUGAGGUAUUUUGGUACUUGCCAUUAUUUCUGAAGUGGUUUUACAUGCAUAUAAAAUUAUUAAAUAAGAAUUAAUUCUAAAUAUUACUAUAUUUUCCAUAUUAUUUUCCAUCACACUGUUUUGUUUGUUUCCCUGAUGGCCCCAAGGCACAGAGCAGAUGUUUUCACUGAGCUGUCCUCAGUGACUUUUAAAUUACUUCAUCAUUGAGAAAUGGCAACAGUGGCAGUCUUUCUUGUGACAUUCAAUCUCAUCAUCCUUUAUAUGCUUAUUAAAAACUAACUUCAGGGCCAAAUAUAACCAGUAUUGGAAGCACCAUCUCCAGAUAUCUCAAGUAAAAAGGAAAAGGGGUGUGGAGAGGGAGGAGAGAGAGGGGAACAAAAACAGUGAGAGAAAACAAGAAGGAAAUUGGCAGAAAAAAAUAAAGAAAGCAAGUAAUUUAUGUAAUUGAAAAGUAUUAUAGUUUGAACCCUCCUCAAUAAUUGAUGGCCUGAAAUUCAAAUAUUAAUUUAGAUUAAAUCUUGAAUCUGUUUAGCCUUAGAAAUAAUGGAGCACAUUAUUAGAAAAAGGAAAAAACACUCCUCUAAUGUCUUACAAUGGAGUAUAACUUCUGAUUCCCCCAACAGAAAACCUAUUUAAAAAAAGACAAGUCAUUAAUCAGUAACAGCUGCUCCCAGCACCUGUUAUUUAUUCCAGUCAUUAACACUUCCUUUAGCAUUUCUGACAGAAAUGGGUAUCUUUUCUAACUGAUAGAAAAGUGAUCUUUGGAACAUCCCCAGAACUUGAUGGCUACAUUUGAUCUACAACGUGUGUUUACAUCUUAUCGCAGCUUUUCUUUUUCACUUGUGGGCUCCUUCUUUUUUUAAAGCAUAGAUUCUAAAAGCACUGAACAUACCAUUUCUUUUGUUGAACAUUUGUGCAGCCUCUAAUUUUUGGUGUGUCCUCGUUAGUUGGUCACAGAGGUGGGGGCACAGAGUGUCUGUGGGGUGUGUACAGGUGUCAAAGGAUUCCCAACCAGUGUGGCCCCCCUGAUGCCUAAUUCUCAUUGAGGUAAAUGGAAAUGCAGAGAGCAUUCAAACUGGGGUUUCUGUGCUACAGGUGUUGCAACGUUUCUGUGUCAGUUUUGCCUUCUGUCAAAGCCUCCUUGCUCAGAUCAAGCAUAGCCAGAGUUCUCCACAGAGCUGCAGAGAAGGUUCCUCGCCUGCCUUUCCCCACCUUGACACUGUCUAGAGGAGCAGGGUUUCCCAGGCAAAAUCAUGUCCUGCCUUACCUCUUCCUACAACAACCCUUGGCUGCCUCUUGCCCUUUCUCUUCCCAAUGCAGGAGACUCUAAGCCUGGUGAAUCAGGAGAUAACAGAAAAUCAAACAGCAACAAGCGUAUUUCAGAGGCACUUUCCUUCAGGUGUGUUACCUGUAGACUUCCAGCAGCAAAGCUAGUUUGGCACAGCUGCUUUCCACAAUCAUCUGAAACCCUCCUGUGCAUGUGCAGAAGUAAGGCCUGAAAGGCUAGCCUGGUUUAAAAUCCUUAUGCUAAACAAUAAUAUAUAGUAUAAAAUAACAUAUAAAAGGUGCGUAGAUGUGGCAUUUGGGGACAUGGUUUAGUGGUGGAUUUGGCAGUGCUAGGUUAACAGUUGGACUUGGUAUUAAGGAUCUUUUCCAACCUAAAUGACUCUGAUUCUUUAUUUCUGUGUGUAGCUAAACACAGCACUAGUGAAGAAAUGUAAGCAUACAUGUAAUACUGCUGCUCUU
Molecule: long non-coding RNA, 5048 nt
Organism: Passer domesticus (house sparrow)
Lineage: Eukaryota; Metazoa; Chordata; Aves; Passeriformes; Passeridae
Exons: 5
Source: RefSeq, a predicted model, not a curated record